AUGAGCAAACCACUAUCACCCAAGUGUCAGGGUUUGUCCACCUAUGAGAAGGAGUACCUGGCCGUGGUAGUGGUUGUGGACCAAUGGCGUCCAUAUCUCCGACACAACGAGUUCAUCAUACAAACUGAUCAGAAGAGCCUAGUGCUCUUAGAGGAACAGAGGCUCACGACCCCUUGGCAGCAAAAAGCAUUCACCAAACUCCUUGGCCUUCGCUACAAUAUUAAGUACAGAAAAGGGACAUAA
This 243-nucleotide ribosomal RNA is filed under the name Triticum aestivum (bread wheat). RNAcentral's name for it is "partial small subunit ribosomal RNA". The record is from RNAcentral. Lineage: Eukaryota; Viridiplantae; Streptophyta; Magnoliopsida; Poales; Poaceae.